UACGAACGCUGGCGGCAUGCCUAAUACAUGCAAGUCGAGCGAACAGAUGAAGUGCUUGCACUUCUGACGUUAGCGGCGAACGGGUGAGUAACACGUAAGGAAUCUACCUAUAAGCGGAGGAUAACAUUCGGAAACGGGUGCUAAUACCGCAUAAUAUCUUCUUCCACAUGGAAGAAGAUUGAAAGACGGCUCUGCUGUCACUUAUAGAUGACCUUGCGUUGCAUUAGUUAGUUGGUGGGGUAACGGCCUAACAAGACGAUGAUGCAUAGCCGACCUGAGAGGGUGAUAGGCCACAUUGGGACUGAGACACGGCCCAAACUCCUACGGGAGGCAGCAGUAGGGAAUCUUCCGCAAUGGGCGAAAGCCUGACGGAGCAAUGCCGCGUGAGUGAAGAAGGCCUUCGGGUCGUAAAACUCUGUUAUAAGAGAAGAACAAAUUGUAGAGUAACUGCUACAGUCUUGACGGUAUCUUAUCAGAAAGCCACGGCUAACUACGUGCCAGCAGCCGCGGUAA
RNAcentral lists this ribosomal RNA (513 nucleotides) under uncultured bacterium. RNAcentral describes it as "partial 16S ribosomal RNA". It matches the Rfam family "Bacterial small subunit ribosomal RNA", at positions 29 to 523 of the family's 1533-position model. The record is from RNAcentral.